GUAGGCGGGUGGUUUAGGUAAAUCCGGACCGCUACUAACGCUGAGAUACGAUGUCGAGCUACUACGGUAGUGAAGUCAUUGAUGCCAUGCUUCCAGGAAAAGCCUCUAAGCUUCAGAUUGUAAGGAAUCGUACCCCAAACCGACACAGGUGGUCGGGUAGAGAAUACCAAGGCGCUUGAGAGAACUCGGGUGAAGGAACUAGGCAAAAUGGUACCGUAACUUCGGGAGAAGGUACGCUCUUAUCAGUGAAGUCCCUUGCGGAUGGAGCAGACGAGAGUCGCAGAUACCAGGUGGCUGCAACUGUUUAUUAAAAACACAGCACUGUGCAAAAUCGUAAGAUGACGUAUACGGUGUGACGCCUGCCCGGUGCCGGAAGGUUAAUUGAUGGGGUUAGACUUCGGUCGAAGCUCUUGAUCGAAGCCCCGGUAAACGGCGGCCGUAACUAUAACGGUCCUAAGGUAGCGAAAUUCCUUGUCGGGUAAGUUCCGACCUGCACGAAUGGCGUAAUGAUGGCCACGCUGUCUCCACCCGAGACUCAGUGAAAUUGAAAUCGCUGUGAAGAUGCAGUGUACCCGCGGCUAGACGGAAAGACCCCGUGAACCUUUACUACAGCUUGGCACUGAACAUUGAACCUACAUGUGUAGGAUAGGUGGGAGACUAUGAAAUUGCGUCGCUAGAUGUGAUGGAGUCGUCCUUGAAAUACCACCCUUGUAGUUUUGAUGUUCUAACGUUGGCCCCUGAAUCGGGGUUACGGACAGUGCCUGGUGGGUAGUUUGACUGGGGCGGUCUCCUCCCAAAGAGUAACGGAGGAGCACGAAGGUGGGCUAAACACGGUUGGACAUCGUGUGGUUAGUGCAAUGGCAUAAGCCCGCUUGACUGCGAGAAUGACAAUUCGAGCAGGUGCGAAAGCAGGUCAUAGUGAUCCGGUGGUUCUGAAUGGAAGGGCCAUCGCUCAACGGAUAAAAGGUACUCCGGGGAUAACAGGCUGAUACCGCCCAAGAGUUCAUAUCGACGGCGGUGUUUGGCACCUCGAUGUCGGCUC
Molecule: ribosomal RNA, 1042 nt
Filed under: Vibrio cyclitrophicus ZF207
Lineage: Bacteria; Pseudomonadati; Pseudomonadota; Gammaproteobacteria; Vibrionales; Vibrionaceae
Description: bacterial LSU rRNA
Rfam family: Bacterial large subunit ribosomal RNA
Source: RNAcentral